GCAUGAAGUCGGAAUUGCUAGUAAUCGUAGGUCAGCAUACUACGGUGAAUACGUUCCCGGGCCUUGUACACACCGCCCGUCAAGCCAUGGGAGCCGGGAGCGCUUGAAGUGCGUCGCCGCGAGGCGCGCCCUAGAGCGAGACCGGUGACUGGGGCUAAGUCGUAACAAGGUAGC
RNAcentral lists this ribosomal RNA (174 nucleotides) under uncultured bacterium. Its description in RNAcentral is "partial 16S ribosomal RNA". It matches the Rfam family "Bacterial small subunit ribosomal RNA", at positions 1318 to 1500 of the family's 1533-position model. The record is from RNAcentral.